This 973-nucleotide long non-coding RNA is filed under the name Danio rerio (zebrafish). RNAcentral's name for it is "lncRNA si:ch73-191k20.4 (ENSDARG00000093438.2)". The record is from RNAcentral. Lineage: Eukaryota; Metazoa; Chordata; Actinopteri; Cypriniformes; Danionidae.
CUGACAAUUACUGAAACCAAACACAGCUGUAGAACCGGAGCAUUUGUAAACACGGUGUGGUGUAGUGUCACAGCGAGUGUUGAGGGAAUACUUACAUUUCGAGACACGCAUAACAUGCCGACCUCCCCGGUGAAGACACGGAUACCGCUGUAAAGUUUUGGCCAUCUUGUAACCGAAGUAAAGAGACAGCUCUUUGGAAUUGAUUCGCCAACCCUGAAGGAACUGACAGGAUGGAGGAAACAUUUUAACAGCUACACCUUACAAGGACGCAGAAAUUUUGUUCUUGCCACAUAUGGCGUUCUUGCACUCACAGCUGCUGCCUUCAUGCUGAGACGCAGCAGGAAGAAGGAGCAUGAAACAGCAUCUGCCUCCUCAUGAACUGCAAAUGGAAAGUUUUGAGGGUUAAGAAUACAGUAAAUUAUUUAUGAUCGCUACAUGUGUGGACCAUGUUUAAUGAAGCUUAUGUUUCUACAUAUGCACCAGAUGUGCAUUUCUUUAUCAUGCACACUUUUUUAAUUUAAAAAUGGAUUGGUUGCGCUUUAGUUUUGUGGCCCCAUUUUGACAUCCUGUUGACUAUUUAUAUAUAUAAAUUUGGUAUCACUUUAUUUUGAUGGUCACUUUAACACAUUUUGUUGAAUUUAAGUUACAUUGCAUCUACAUUCCAACUAAUUCUCAUUAGCAUAUAAGUAAGCUGUUAGGUUGGGGUUAGUGUAAGUUGACAUGUACUUGCAAAGUUUCUUAUAGUCAGUAUCAGCAGAUAUUAAGCAGGCAGUCUACUAAUACUCAAAUGAUAAGUAAUUGGCGUGUAGUUGCAAUGCAAAUUUUAGUCAAAAAAUGUGCGAUAGGGACAUUUAUACAAUUUAAUUAGUAUGAAAACUAAUGAAUUUUUUAAAGGGGUGUGUCCUCAAACUCCACCCCUUAUCCUACACCUCAUUGAAGGAUAAGCAAAUCAUACUAAAAUGUACCAAUGAGA